CUUCUUGAAUUUAUAUGAAGUCGUGCCUGCCCACUGAUUUAUUAAAUGGCCGCGGUAUUUUGACCGUGCAAAGGUAGCAUAAUCAUUAGUCUUUUAAUUGGAGGCUGGAAUGAAUGGUUUGACGAAACAAUAACUGUCUCAGGAUAAUUAAUUGAAUUUUAUUUUUAAGUUAAAAAGCUUAAAUAAUGACAGGGGACGAGAAGACCCUAUAGAUCUUAAUAUUAUUAUAUUAAAAUAUAUGUUUGGGAGUAUUUUGUAUAUUUUAUUAUGUAAUGUUUUGUUGGGGUGACAAGGGAAUAAUUUAACUUCUUUAUAAUUUACUGUGAUGGUUGGUUAAUUGAUCCUAUUAUUAUGGAAUGAAGAUAAAGAUACCUUAGGGAUAACAGCGUAAUAUUGUUGGAGAGUUCAUAUUGAUAAUAAUGAUUGCGACCUCGAUGUUGGAUUAAGAAAAUUAUUAGGUGCAGGAGCUUAAUAUAUUGGUCUGUUCGACCAUUAAAUUCUUACGUGAUCUGAGUU
RNAcentral lists this ribosomal RNA (516 nucleotides) under Gryllus sp. 'staccato'. RNAcentral describes it as "partial 16S ribosomal RNA". It matches the Rfam family "Bacterial large subunit ribosomal RNA", at positions 1833 to 2611 of the family's 2925-position model. Lineage: Eukaryota; Metazoa; Arthropoda; Insecta; Orthoptera; Gryllidae. The record is from RNAcentral.